AGAGUUUGAUCCUGGCUCAGAACGAACGCUGGCGGCAGGCCUAACACAUGCAAGUCGAGCGAGACCUUCGGGUCUAGCGGCGGACGGGUUAGUAACGCGUGGGAACGUACCCUUUUCUAAGGAAUAGCCACUGGAAACGGUGAGUAAUGCCUUAUACGCCCUUCGGGGGAAAGAUUUAUCGGAGAAGGAUCGGCCCGCGUUAGAUUAGAUAGUUGGUGGGGUAAUGGCCUACCAAGUCUACGAUCUAUAGCUGGUUUGAGAGGAUGAUCAGCAACACUGGGACUGAGACACGGCCCAGACUCCUACGGGAGGCAGCAGUGGGGAAUCUUAGACAAUGGGCGCAAGCCUGAUCUAGCCAUGCCGCGUGAGUGAUGAAGGCCUUAGGGUCGUAAAGCUCUUUCGCCUGUGAAGAUAAUGACUGUAGCAGGUAAAGAAACCCCGGCUAACUCCGUGCCAGCAGCCGCGGUAAUACGGAGGGGGUUAGCGUUGUUCGGAAUUACUGGGCGUAAAGCGCGCGUAGGCGGACAUUUAAGUCAGGGGUGAAAUCCCGGGGCUCAACCCCGGAACUGCCCUUGAUACUGGGUGUCUUGAGUUCGAGAGAGGUGAGUGGAAUUCCGAGUGUAGAGGUGAAAUUCGUAGAUAUUCGGAGGAACACCAGUGGCGAAAGCGGCUCACUGGCUCGAUACUGACGCUGAGGUGCGAAAGUGUGGGGAGCAAACAGGAUUAGAUACCC
RNAcentral lists this ribosomal RNA (733 nucleotides) under uncultured bacterium. RNAcentral describes it as "bacterial SSU rRNA". It matches the Rfam family "Bacterial small subunit ribosomal RNA", at positions 8 to 787 of the family's 1533-position model. The record is from RNAcentral.